This is a long non-coding RNA of Oncorhynchus keta (chum salmon), 1551 nucleotides long. RefSeq lists it as uncharacterized. The record is from RefSeq and is a predicted model, not a curated record. NCBI's taxonomy places the organism in Eukaryota, Metazoa, Chordata, Actinopteri, Salmoniformes, Salmonidae. The transcript has 3 exons.
AAGACCAUUCGUCUACUGCUCCUAAGCAUGGAGGAGAGAGAUAAUACCAUCCUUCUCCUAAGCAUGGAGGAGAGAGAUAAGACCAGACGUCUCCUGCUCCUAAGCAUGGAGGAGAGAGAUAAUACCAUCCUUCUCCUGCUCCUAAGCAUGGAGGAGAGAGAUAAUACCAUCCUUCUCCUGCUCCUAAGCAUGGAGGAGAGAGAUAAGACCAGACGUCUACUGCUCCUAGGAGGAGAGAGAGAGAUAAGACCAGACGUCUACUGCUCCUAGGAGGAGAGAGAGAGGUAAGACCAGACGUCUACUGCUCCUAGGAGGAGAGAGAGAGGUAAGACCAGACGUCUACUGUUCCUAAGCAUUGAGGAGAGAGAUAAUACCAUCCUUCUCCUGCUCCUAAGCAUGGAGGAGAGAGGUAAGACCAGACGUCUACUGCUCCUAGGAGGAGAGAGAGAGAUAAGACCAGACGUCUACUGCUCCUAGGAGGAGAGAGAGAGAUAAGACCAGACGUCUACUGCUCCUAAGCAUGGAGGAGAUAGAGAGAGAUAAGACCAUUCGUCUACUGCUCCUAAGCAUGGAGGAGAGAGAUAAUACCAUCCUUCUCCUGCUCCUAAGCAUGGAGGAGAGAGAUAAUACCAUCCUUCUCCUGCUCCUAAGCAUGGAGGAGAGAGAUAAGACCAGACGUCUACUGCUCCUAGGAGGAGAGAGAGAGAUAAGACCAGACGUCUACUGCUCCUAGGAGGAGAGAGAGAGGUAAGACCAGACGUCUACUGCUCCUAGGAGGAGAGAGAGAGAUAAGACCAGACGUCUACUGCUCCUAGGAGGAGAGAGAGAGGUAAGACCAGACGUCUACUGUUCCUAAGCAUGGAGGAGAGAGAUAAUACCAUCCUUCUCCUGCUCCUAAGCAUGGAGGAGAGAGGUAAGACCAGACGUCUACUGCUCCUAGGAGGAGAGAGAGAGAUAAGACCAGACGUCUACUGCUCCUAGGAGGAGAGAGAGAGGUAAGACCAGACGUCUACUGUUCCUAAGCAUGGAGGAGAGAGAUAAUACCAUCCUUCUCCUGCUCCUAAGCAUGGAGGAGAGAGAUAAGACCAGACGUCUACUGUUCCUAAGCAUGGAGGAGAGAGAUAAUACCAUCCUUCUCCUGCUCCUAAGCAUGGAGGAGAGAGAUAAGACCAGACGUCUACUGCUCCUAGGAGGAGAGAGAGAGAUAAGACCAGACGUCUACUGCUCCUAAGCAUGGAGGAGAGAGGUAAGACCAGACGUCUACUGCUCCUAAGCAUGGAGGAGAGAGGUAAGACCAGACGUCUACUGCUCCUAAGCAUGGAGGAGAGAGGUAAGACCAGAUGUCUACUGCUCCUAAGCAUGGAGGAGAGAGAUAAGACCAGACGUCUACUGCUCCUAAGCAUGGAGGAGAGAGAGAGAUAAGACCAGACGUCUACUGUUCCUAAGCAUGGAGGAGAGAGAUAAGACCAGACGUCUACUGUUCCUAAGCAUGGAGGAGAGAGAUAAGACCAGACGUCUACUGUUCCUAAGCAUGGAGGAGAGAGAGAGAAC